GUAAUUUUUUAUAAAAAAAAAGAUUCUCUGAUUGUAGCUUCUGAAAUGUGAAUAUGUUCUAGUUUCUUCACUCCUCUAUGACAGUAAACUGAAUA
Sander lucioperca (pikeperch) is the source of this 95-nucleotide long non-coding RNA. RefSeq lists it as uncharacterized. The record is from RefSeq and is a predicted model, not a curated record. NCBI's taxonomy places the organism in Eukaryota, Metazoa, Chordata, Actinopteri, Perciformes, Percidae. The transcript has 3 exons.